RNAcentral lists this ribosomal RNA (187 nucleotides) under uncultured bacterium. Its description in RNAcentral is "partial 16S ribosomal RNA". It matches the Rfam family "Bacterial small subunit ribosomal RNA", at positions 1315 to 1500 of the family's 1533-position model. The record is from RNAcentral.
CCUUCAUGAAGUCGGAAUUGCUAGUAAUGGCAGGUCAGCAUACUGCCGUGAAUACGUUCCCGGGCCUUGUACACACCGCCCGUCACACCAUGAGAGUUGGAAAUACCCGAAGCCUGUGAGCUAACCUUAUAGGAGGCAGCAGUCGAAGGUAGAGUCAAUGAUUGGGGUGAAGUCGUAACAAGGUAUC